Molecule: ribosomal RNA, 253 nt
Filed under: uncultured bacterium
Lineage: Bacteria
Description: partial 16S ribosomal RNA
Rfam family: Bacterial small subunit ribosomal RNA
Source: RNAcentral
UACGUAGGGUGCAAGCGUUGUCCGGAAUUAUUGGGCGUAAAGAGCUCGUAGGCGGUCUGUCGCGUCUGCUGUGAAAACUCAGGGCUUAACCCUGAGCUUGCAGUGGGUACGGGCAGACUAGAGUGCGGUAGGGGAGACUGGAAUUCCUGGUGUAGCGGUGAAAUGCGUAGAUAUCAGGAGGAACACCGAUGGCGAAGGCAGGUCUCUGGGCAUUAACUGACGCUGAGGAGCGAAAGCAUGGGGAGCGAACAGG